UUGGUGAGGUAAAGGCUUACCAAGGCGACGAUCAGUAGCUGGUCUGAGAGGACGACCAGCCACACUGGGACUGAGACACGGCCCAGACUCCUACGGGAGGCAGCAGUGGGGAAUUUUGGACAAUGGGGGAAACCCUGAUCCANCCAUGCCGCGUGAGUGAAG
Molecule: ribosomal RNA, 162 nt
Filed under: uncultured beta proteobacterium USS22
Lineage: Bacteria; Pseudomonadati; Pseudomonadota; Betaproteobacteria
Description: partial 16S ribosomal RNA
Rfam family: Bacterial small subunit ribosomal RNA
Source: RNAcentral